ACAUGCCUACAACAUAGCACUAAUGCAUUGGAUCCCAUUAGAACUCUGCAGUUAAGAGCACUCGGGCUAGAGUAGUCCCCGGAUUGGUCACUUCCCGAGAAGUCUUAGUGUUUUACAUGCC
Molecule: non-coding RNA, 121 nt
Organism: Picea glauca (white spruce)
Lineage: Eukaryota; Viridiplantae; Streptophyta; Pinopsida; Pinales; Pinaceae
Source: Rfam